RNAcentral lists this long non-coding RNA (313 nucleotides) under Numida meleagris (helmeted guineafowl). RNAcentral's name for it is "lncRNA (ENSNMEG00000007292.1)". The record is from RNAcentral. Lineage: Eukaryota; Metazoa; Chordata; Aves; Galliformes; Numididae.
UUCUAAGCAAUGGAGAUAAGCAAGUUGUCAAUCCAUUUAUUAGAUGGACAUCCUGAUAUUUUUAAAUGCUAAUAGUACAUGUUUUUCUACAACAAACUCUCUGAUUUGUUUUCAGAUUCGAUGACUGCAUUGCUCUUCUCUGAGCUUGGGGAUCACUGCAUAUCCCUUUCAGUCUCACAAACAGGUUAAUGAAGCUAGAGGGAAGGAGGGAAGGAUUGGUCGCUCAAUCAAACUGCAACAUAUGGAAAAUCCAACGUUUCAGUGAAUUCUAGGAGUAAGCUAACAUACUUAUUCUGGUGAGACUGGCAUUAAU